Molecule: ribosomal RNA, 10740 nt
Filed under: Gymnopilus junonius
Lineage: Eukaryota; Fungi; Basidiomycota; Agaricomycetes; Agaricales; Galerinaceae
Description: large subunit ribosomal RNA
Rfam family: Bacterial large subunit ribosomal RNA (bases 5010-5589)
Source: RNAcentral
ACAAUAGAAAGUAAUUUAAAGGGAUUAUUAAGGAACAAUAAAGCAAACUUAUAAAAAAGGAAGUAAAUACUAAAUGCUUAAAUUAUUUAUUUGUUUAUUUUUUUUUUACUUAUGCUCGCAGCUAUUAGCUCUAGCAACUUUAAGGGGUACGAAGGACUACAUUGUCCUACGGUUAGUUAAAAAAAAUAAAUAAUUUAUAAUUAAAUAUAAAUUAAAAAAAAAUUUUUUUUAUUUAUAUUAAACAAUAAAAAAAUUUUUUUUUUAAAAGUAUUUUUAAAAUAAGCGAUCCUAAGGUAAACCUUUUUAAAAAAUACUUCCUGAAGUAAAACAUUUUAUUAAGGAAAGGAAAGGAAAUCAACCGAGACUCCGAAAGUAAUGGCGAGUGAAAUCGGAUUAGCCAAUAAUCUUUUAAAGUAAAGGUAAAUAAAAUUUAAUAAACAAUAGCUUAAAAAAGUUAAGUUAAAAUUAUAUAUAUUAUUUAUGAAUUAUAACUUGAAAUCUUAUUAAGCCGAUAAAAAUUUAAUUAUAGUUUAUUUUGUUUAUUUUUUUAACUUAAAUAUAAUAAAUUAAUGUAAUUAUACACAAUAAAAGGUAUUCGAGUCCUGUAAAGUUAUACUUACAAAAAGUAAAAGUUAUUUAAUAAGUACGAUGAGAGAUAACUUGUCGGAAAAUAGGGGAACCAUCCUCUAAGGCUAAGUAUUAUAAGUUUAGCAAUAGCGAAAAGUACUGUAAAGGAAAAAUUUGAAAAGAAAGUAACAUACUUUGAAUUUUAUAAUUUUAUUCUAAAAUCUUAGCUUAUUCUUAUAGUUUCCUUUGAAAUCCUCUUUUAGCUUUUUUUAAAAAAAAAAAAGUUAUUUUUAGUCUUAAAGACUUUUGUUUUACUUUUAUUUUACCUCUUGGCUUUUUUUUGUAUUCUUAAUUUGAAUACAAAUAAGAAUGAGAGGCAGAAGAAAAAAGUAAACAUAGUCGGAAAGAUAAGAACAAAAGCUAACAGCCCUUCUACUUUUGUUUUGCUAUUGCUUUUUUCUUAUUUUUACAUGUACCUUAUGGUACACACAAAAGCUAACAAAAGUAAAACAAAAGUACAAUUAAAAAGAAGGGCUAAAUUAGUAAAAAACUAAUAGAGGGAUAAGAAAAGAUUGCUACCAGCUAGCCUUGUAUUCUGAUUUUUAUUUUUAUUUAUGUAAAAAUAAAAAUAAGAAUACGGUAAGGCAGUAACAAAAGUAGCCGAGUAUAAACUAUAGAAUCAGUGAAAUAGAACGUGAAUUAGUAAUUCUAUAAGCAGUCGGAAUCCUACUCAAAUUGAAUAAAGGAUGACGGCGUACCUUUUGCAUAAUGGGUCAGCAAGUUAAUAGGAGUAGCAAGGAUUAAACCUUAGCGAAAGCGACUGAACUAAUAAUAUAAAUUUAGUAUUGGGAUAGUUACUUUUAUUAGACCCGCUACGUGUUUUUGGAAAACACUAUUGUGGGUCAAACUAUCAAACUCCGGGGACACCUUAAAGCUUAUGAUACCAAGCUACAUACGAAAGUUUGUAAGUGGCUGAAGUAAUUAUUCAGGUAUGGUAACAAGUCAUAAGAUGAGUGAAAAUGAAAUAGGCAAUCGCGGAUCUAAGUCAGAAAUUUUUAAAACCCACAGCCAAAAAAAAAUUUCUGUAAAAGAGCAACGAGUAGACGGUAGUUACUUUGGUUUAUCUCCAAAGUUAAGGUGUACUCUAAUGGGCUGUGAAAACAGUUAUCAACUCAAAAUCCCUUCUAAACAAUUAAUUAAAAAUUAUUCUACUUUAAAUAGUACCUUUAAAUUGAAUCCUUGAUUUGUAACUGGAUCCUACGGACUGAUGCUGAGGGCUCAUUUAUUGUUAAAAUAGAUCAAAGCCUAAAACGGAAAGUAGGAUGACGAAUUCAGACUAACUAUCAAAUAGGAUUACAUAUACGAGAUUUAGCUGUGUUAUUACAAAUACAACAAUUUUUUGGUGGUAUAGGGCAUAUAAGUAAACCUAAAAAUAAAGAUAUGGUAUACUAUUCUGUAUCUAAAAAUAAGGAUAUAACUGAUGUCAUAAUUCCUCAUUUUAAAAAAUAUUAUUUAUUAUCUCAAAAAAGAGCGGAUUUUAUACUAUUUACUAAAAUAGUUGAUUUAAUUAAUAAUAAAGCUCAUCUAACAAAAGAUGGGCUCCUUCAAAUUUUUAAUAUAAAAGCUUCUAUAAAUUUAGGUUUAUCUAACAAAAAUAUAUUAGAGUUUUUUAAUAUUAUUCCAGUUGAUAGGCCAAAAAUUGAAACUAAAAACAUUCCAGAUCCACAUUGAAUAUCUGGAUUUGUUAAUGGUGAAGGUUCUUUCGAUAUUAAAAUUUAUAAGGCCAAAACUACUAUUGGGUAUGCAACUCAAUUGAGAUUUAGAGUACCACAACACAAUAGGGAUAUUAUUUUAAUAGAAACAUUAAAUAAAUAUUUUGAUGCUGGUUUUAUUGAAAAACAUACAAAAUUUUUAGCAGUUACCUUAGUAAUUACAAAUUUUACUCCUUUAAUAAAGAAAAUUAUACCCUUUUUCAAAACCUAUACUUUUUUAGGUCAAAAGAAAUUGGAUUUUCUUGAUUGGUGUGAAGUUUCUAGGUUAAUGAUUGAAGGGUCACAUCUUACUAAGGAUGGAUUUGAAAAAAUCAUUGGUAUAAAAAAAGGAAUGAAUAAAUGAAGAAAAAAAUAAUAUAUAAUUAAUUGCAUGAUAAAUUUGAUUAGCCAUGGAAGCCAGGUGAUCUUACCAAAACCAGAUUAUAAUGGAUCGAACGGGUGAAUGUUGCAUAAUUCUCCGAAGAGUUUUUGUAAGCGGUGAAAUGCCAAUCUGACCUGGUGCUAGCUGGUUUUCUACCGAAACAUAUUUAAGUAUGACGUCUAUCUAAUAAAUUUAUGAAGGUACAGCAAGGCGAUUCCCAACAAGUUUAAUUUAAUAACUAAAUAAAAAUUAUUAAAUUUUAUACGUUUAGGUUGCGGGGAUCUAGAAAAUCUUACCUUUGGAAGCGAAUCUCGGAAUUACAUAAAUUGAUGGUAGAUAUUCAGACUGCUCAUGCUAAGUUGGGCAGUCAAGACGGAAACAGCCGAGAACACUGAUCAAGGUCCCAAAUGAUUGUUAAGUGAAAUUAAGGACGUAGCAAUAUCGCAUACAGCUGUGAAGUGAGCCUAGAAUAAAUGACUGCUGGGCUCAAAGUAAAACUAAGCUAUAUGCAAGAAACCCCUAAAGCUUUAAAUACUUAUUUUUAUAAGUAAUAAUUUUAAAGAUAAUAUAAUAACAAUGGGCAAUUUGCAGGAAACCGAAAACUAGUAAUUAGUUAAAGGAUCCUCAACGACUAUACGCUUGGAAUUUUAAUCUUUUAUUAGGAUAAAGUUAUGACAGAGUCUAAUCCAAUUAGCGAAAGGUUUGGUUUUUAAGACCGAGAAAGAAACGGUCUACCUAUUAUAAUUUUGUAUGUCUUUUGAUUAAUUUAUUAAUUAAUUAGAGAGGAGUUGGUUCUACUCUCACUUUGAAGGCUAGUCCCCUAACCAAAGUUAAAAUAAUGAAAAAUAAACUAAUCUACAAAAUUAAAUUUAAUUAUUUAUUUAAAACACUACAAAUAAUAAAUUACAGAACCAAAAAGAAAAUUUUCUAACUCAAAUGAGUAUAGAACAAAAUUUUAAGUUAUCUUCAGGUUACAUAAGUGGUUUAACUCAAAGUGAUGGUUCAUUUUUUUGUUCAAUUAUAAAUUCUUCAAAACAUAGAUUUGGAAUUCAAUUUAGACCUAAGUAUACUAUAACGGCAGAUUUAGAUUCUAAAUUUGUUUUAGAUAGUAUACAGUCUUAUUUUAAGUGCGGAAGUGUUACAAUAAAUAUAAAUAAACACACUGCCGAAUUUGGAGUAGUAAAAUUGAAUGAGUUAUUUGAAAUAAUUAUUCCUCAAUUUGAAAACUAUCCUGUUUUUUGUGCUAAAUUACAUGCCUUUAACUUAUUUAAACAAAUAGUUAUAGCUUUAGUUAAUAAAGAAAAAAGAACAAUAGAAGGAAGAAGAGAAAUAUUAAAAAUAGCUUUAUCUAUGAAUAGAGCUUCAAAUAGAAACUUAGAAAAAAUGGAAAGCUUAUAUAAUAAAUUGGGAAUAUUUAAUAUUGAAGACCAAAGUCUAAUCAGUAACAAUAUUACAGAAAUUACGGGGCCAAUAUACGAUGAUUUUAUAUCAGGUAUUAUAGAUGGUGAUGGUAGUUUUUAUAUCUCGUUCCAACAAAACGGUGAAAUAAAAACAGGAUUUAAUAUAACUAGUGACCUAGAUUCCAAAUCUUUAUUAGAGAGUAUUCAAAAACAAUUGCAAAAUAUAGGGUCAAUACAUAAAGGUACUAAAAAUGAAUUAGUUUAUACUGUAACAGGUUUAAAUCAAAUAAAUAAUAUAGUAAUACCAUUCGUGGAUAAAAAUCCUAUAUUUUCAGAACGAGCUUUACAUUAUAAUAAGUUUAAAACAGUAAGUCAAAUUUUAAAAAAUGAAAAUCCUUUAAGCUUACAAACUAAAUUAAAAAUUGUAGAAUUAGCUUAUAACAUGAAUAAAAAAGGAAAACACAGAACUUUAAGUAAAACUCAAUACAUAGAUAAUUUAAAAUUUUUAUCCGCCCCCCCCCUCCCUCUUGUCGCCCCGUAGGGGCGUCGCUACUCCCUACGGGAGAGAAGCAAGUAGCGAGGGAGAGGGUAGGAACAAAAUUUGAUAUAGUAAAAUUUUAGUAAAAAAGCUAAGUGUUUUUAUAAAUAAUUAUACAAAAGUAGAAAUAGGAGAAUGGGCAGUCGCUACUUUUAAUGAUCGUACGUAACAACGCAUCAGCAGUAUCAAAUAUUUUUAAUAUUUAAUGAUAGUCGCGCCGAAAAUUUAACGGGUCUUAAACAAUCAACCGAUAUCGUGUUGGUUUUUUAUUAAUUGUUUUAAUAAAGAAUCUAGGUAGUAGAACAUUCAGUAAAACUGUUAAUUAAAUAGUGUUUCAUUGUUUAUUAGGUUACUGAAGAGAGAAUGCUGACAUGAGUAACGUAAAAAAUUCCUUAUAAUGGAAUUCGCCGAAUACGAAAGGGUUGCAAAUUUGAAAGGUUAAACCGUUUUGUGUUAAUGCGGCCUCUAAGGACUAUAGCAAUAGCUAUGGCUGAUGAGUAAAUAAUAGAAAGUCCAAUAAUUAAAAAAUGGACCAGGAAAAUAAUAUUAUAUAACUACCGUACCCUAAACCGACACAGGUUCGUAAGUAGAGAAUACUAAGGCGUAGAGCUAAAAGUUGUUAAGGAACUCGGCAAAUUCAUCUCAUAAGUUAGACGACAAGAGAUACCUAUUACUUUUUACAACCCUUUUUUUAAAGAUGUAAAAGUUAGGUGGCACAGAAUCGGAGGCCCCGACUGUUUACUAAAAACACAUCACAGUGCAAUCAUUAAUAUGGUAGUAUACUGUGUGAAAUUUGCCCAAUGCCAUUAAUAUAAGAGAAGUUAUGUUUAACGUGACUAAUCGAAAAUCUGGUUAAUAGCGGUCUUAACCAUGAGGAUCUGAAUAAACUUAGGGUCCUCAAUAAACUCGAUGAUAUGCUGGAACACUCUAAAGCUUUAAAUACUUAAAGUUUAAUCACUUAAAGUUAAAAUUUUAAAGAUGAAACAAUGGGAAAUCAGCAGGGAAUAUUAAAAUUCUAAUAUUACCGCUCGCGUAGCGAGCGAUAAAUUUAGAAACUGGUAUAUAAAAGUGUAAUAGAUAGUUUAAUUUAAUUUACUCUUGCGUAGCAAUCGCCCCUUCCCUCUUGAAGCGUCGCCCCGUAGGGGCGUCGCUACGCGAGGGAGGGGGCGAGCGGUCCUACGGAAUAUUUAAAUUUUCUAAUUUAUUAUGUUAGACGCUAAUUAAAAUAUAUAAUUAAAUGAAAUGUUAAAAAAGGAUGUUAAUAAUAUUAAUUAUCUUUAUUUUUUAGGUGGAUUUGUAGAAGGAGAAGGUUCUAUGUCUGUUUCUAUUACAAUUCAUAAAGAUUUUAAAUUUGGAGUAAAUAUUCAACCUAUUUUUAAUGUAACUCAACAUAAAAAAGGGUUAGAAAUAUUAAAUUCUUUUAAAGACCUUUUUGAAGAAGGAUCAGUACUUAAUAAAUCAGCCCGAAGGGCUCCUGAUAUUUUUGUUUAUACUUUGAAAGGUUAUAAAAAAAUAAUUGAAAAAAUUAUACCUUUCUUAGAAAUUUAUGUGUGUCCAUUUAGUUGUAAAAUGGAAGAAUAUAAUAUUUUUAAAGAAAUAGUUAUAAAAUCCUCAGAAGGAAAACAAAAAGAUAAAGAAACCCUUAUAGAAUUAGUAAAAUUAGCUUAUACUCUGCAAGGAAAAGGUAAAACUAGAAAAAGGGAAUUAUCCGAAAUCCUUGAAAUAAUAGAAGAUAAAAAUACUUAUUUUAAUAAAAACAAUACUUCAACCUUAAUUAUUAGUGAUAAUUAAUAGUAUUUAUAUUUUUUUUUACAAACCCCCCCCCCCUCCCCUAGCUUCGCUAGGCUUCCAAAGGGAGAGAUAGGAUUUUAUGUGCUGAAUAUAUUCCAAUUAGCAAAGCUAGUUAAUAAUAACCCUCAGAGACUAAAUAAUUGAGCAAAUAAAUAAAUUUAAAUUUUAUUUGAUGAUAUAGUCCGGCUAUUUUAGUAAUAAUUUAGAUACCUUUGCCUAAGGUAGCAAAAUCAGUUGGCCAUUAAAUGUGGUCCGGUAUCAAUAAUGUAACGAUGGUCUCACUGUCUCUACAACUUGCUCAGUGAAAUUGAAUUACGCGUGCAGAUGCGCGUUGCCUCCAGGGGGACGGGAAGACCCUAUGCAGCUUUACUGUAGUUAGUUAUCAUGCGAAUCUAGAACAAUUUAGUUUAAUAGUGAAUAGGUUAAAUCGAGAGAUAGUUGGAAACCUUAAAAACUAGAUUGGGUUUGUAUUUACCUUAAAAUUAAAAAAUAAAGGGAGAGUUGACUAAUUGGCAGUUUGACUGGGGCGGUCGUCUUUAAUAGAGUAGCAAAGUACAUCCAAAUAUUUUAAAUAAUUAGCUUAAAUUAAUUUUAUUUAAGUUCGUUUUUAACUAAAUAAGUAUUCCUUUUUAAUUAUUGUUUUACUUAAUUUAAUUUGUUUUAAUAUUAGUUUAUUUUUACAAAUGAUUUUAGGUAAUCCAUCGGACCUGCCGUCCUCGGACAAAGGUUAUAAUUUUAGAUUAAUAUUUUUAUUUUUAAUUUUCCCUCGCUCCCGUACGGGAGCGACUACUUUGCUUUUAGCUAUUUUUACUUUUGUUUAACUUUUGUUGGUGUAAGCAACAGCUUUUUGCUCGUUUAUACUUUUGUUUAAUACCAAAAGUAUAAACAAAAGCAAAAGCAACCUUUCUCCGAACUUUUGCUUCGCAAUAGCUGUUGGUGUAACCAACAAAAGAAAGGAUAGCUCCUUACAAAAGAGUCGAAAGCGUAGCGAUUGCUUCGCAAGAGGGAGAAAUUAUAUUUAUUUUUUCUUUAUAUUUUAUAAGGUAUAGCUAGAAAUUGAAUGGAGAUCAAUCAACCAGUGAAGGGUUGUGUAGAGCUCAAUGGCGGUAAGCAUACUUAACUGAAAGACUCAAAAGUCGCACAGAUACGAAAGUAGGGCAUAGUGACCCCUCGCUAUAGUAUGGGAUAGACGGGGAUCAAUUAAUAAAAGUUACGCUAGGGAUAACAGGCUGAUCGCGGACGAGAGUACACAUUGUCUCCGCGGUUUGGCACCUUUUUUUAAUAUAAAAUACUACAGUUUACAUAGUAAACUAAAUACCAAUAUAUAUUACAUCACUCUUUUUUUAAUAUAAAAAUUUAACCUUUAUUUAUUAAAGGUUAAAAAAUUAUAUUAAAUUAAGUAAUAUUCAAUAAUCUCAUUAUUAUUAUAAAUUUUAUAUUUAUAAAAGCUUUUUUAUAUUAUUAAUAUCUAUUUUUUUUUAAUUUAAAGAAGCAGAGAUUUUUCUUUCAUUUUAUUAUAAUUUUUAAUUUUAUUUAUUUUUUUUUUUUCAAUGUUUGCAAAGUAAGGUCCUUCGGAGAAAGGUAAAUAAAUAAAAAUUUAAAAAUUUAUAAGUAGUCUUACAAAAAGUAAGAAUUUUAAGAAAAUAACAAAAACUAAAAAUUAUUAUGAAUAAAAAAGUUCAAGAUAUGCUAAUUGGAGCUAUUUUAGGUGAUGCACACAUAAGAAGAACAGGGCUUGAUAAAGCUUUUAUUUCAUUUGAAAUAUCUAAUAAAAAAUCAGAAUAUUUAAACUAUUUACAUAGUUUUACUAAAGAAGCUGGUAUUCCUUUACAGGAUUAAGCAAUUAAAGAAUAUUCUAGAGAAGAUUUUAGAUAUAAUACUACUAAUAAAUCACUAUAUUUUAGAACAGAAUCGCUUGAAGUAUUAAAACCUCUAGCUGAUAUGUUUUUAGAUAAAGAUAAUAAAAAAAUUAUACCUAGUAAUAUAUCUGAUUUAUUAACACCUAGGGGUUUAGCUUUUUGAAUCAAGGAUGAUGGCCAACAAGUAAAAAGAGGGGGUUUAACAUUAUGUACAGAUAGUUAUAGUAGUAAUGAAAUUAAUAUUCUUAGAGAAACCCUUAAAAAUAAUUUUAACUUGGAAACCACAAUCCACAGUAAAAAAGGUAAAAAUGAAGCUAUUUAUGAAAGAAUAUAUCUUAAAAAAGAAGAAUUCGAAGCAUUUAAACCUGAAAUAAUUCCUCAUAUGCAUGAUUCUAUGCUAUAUAAAAUAAAUGAAAAAUUAUUAAUAAAACAAGAUUCUCGCCCCUACGGGGCGACUGAUAUUGAAAGUGAUUAUCGCCCCUACGGGGCGACUGAAUUAAUGGAUAUUUUUGACAUCGGGGAACUUUAAUAGCAAUAUUAAAUUAGAAUUAGGCUAUAUGCUGGAACCUUCUUAUAGCUUUUAAUACUAAUUAUUUCAAUUUAUUUUAAUAAGAAAUAACAGUAAAAUUUUGAAAGAUUGAACAAUCAGCAGGGAAGUUAUUUAUUUUUUUUUUUAUUUAAAUUUAAGAAUAAAAAGGUGUAAGCAACAAUAAAAAUUAUAACCCCUCAACGACUACACGCCGAUAUCCAGAAGCUUUGUAAAUGUAUUCUUACACUGGAUAAAAAUAUAGUCUAAUUUUAACUGAAAAGUUAAAAAUAAAUAAAAAUAUAAUGCGAUGUCGACUCAUCCUAUCCUCCGGGGGAAGAAGCUUGGAAGGGUUCGGCUGUUCGCCGAUUAAAAGGGUACGUGAGUUGGGUUAACACUCUAAAAGUUAAAAGAUAAAAGUAUGAAUAAUAAAAAAGAAAAUAUAUUAAGUAUUAAUAAUACUGUUGGUUACUCAGAUUUGCCUCUAGAAGUUAGGUCCAUUUUUAUAGGUACAAUUAAAGGUGAUGGUAGCUUAUAUAGAUCAUCGCCCACUUCAAACGUUAGAAUUGAAGUGAGUUUUGGUCAAAAAUAUCAAUUAUUUGCAUUACAUUUAGGAGAGGUGUUUAAAGAAUACAUGAGCAACCCUGUUAAAUCAUUAGAAGUUAAAGGUAAAGAUAAAACAUUUACUAACUAUAGAUUAAAAACAAAAAGUUUGCCCUUAUUUGUUCCUUACUACAGCAAAUUUUAUGAGUAUAACGAAGAAUUAAAUAAAUUUACUCCUGCGGAGUAAUACCAUUAGAUAUUAUUGAAUUUAUGGAUCCUAUCGUAUUGGCUUAUUUAAUUAUGACCGAUGGUAACUUUGAUAAGGUCCUUCGGAGAAAUAGAGUAAGAAUUUAUACUAAUAGCUAUAGUAAAGAAGAUGUUCAAAGAUUGGCUUUAAUUAUUAAAGAAAAAUUUGAUAUUUAUACAGGUGUACUACACGACCGAAAUAAUCAAUGGAUUUUAACGAUAGGAGCCAAAAAUUUAGAUUUAUUAAGAAGUAUUGUUAAUCCACAUUUUCAGCCUUCUAUGAGAUAUAGAAUAGGUUUAUAAUAUACUUUACACUUUGUUACUUUUUUAAAAAGCCCCUUUUUAUUACCCCCCCCCCCUCUCUUGCGUAGCAAUACGCGGUCCUUUGGGAUGGGCUACGAUAGUAGAAAAAGGAGGGCAAAAAGAAAACCGGAGAAAUAGCAAGGAACACUUUUCCUUUUUUAGGUAAGUCAAUUUGCAGCCGAGCUUGAUCUAGUGAAAUAAUUAAUUAUUUAGAUCAUGAAGGUUCAACGACUAAUAGGUGAGUUUCACUAACAAUAAACCUAACACGAAUUUCCGGCAAUCGUAAUCUAAAUUUUACGGUUGAUGACAUAGUCUGAACCAUUUUGUGAAAAAUGGAUACUUAGCUUAAAGGACUAAGUGCUAACAUAAUUGUUAAUACGACGUGAGUCAGUAUGGUCCCUAUCUUCUGGAGGAAUAAUUAGUAAAAGGGGGCAGACCUUCUAGUACGAAAGGAUCAAUAGGCUGUGUUUCUCUAGUGUACCAAUUGUUUGUAAAUUUUUAUUUAUUUUCAUAAAAAUAUGAAUGCAUAGUUGGGUAGCCACAAACAUAAUAGAUAAGUGCUGAAUGUCUAUAAAGCAAGAAUCUAACCCCUAGAUACUAAUAUAACUUUUGCUUUUUAUUAUCUUGUGAAGCUCCUUUUUUUUUUUUAAUUUUACCGCUUACCUUUUGUUUUUACUUUAAAAACAAAAGUAAAAAGCGACUAAAGAAAAUUAAAAAAAAAAGGAGAAAAAGCAAGAGAAAGUAAAAGUUAAUAAUUAAGAAAUAGAAUAUUUCUAGAUAGGCUACAAAUGUACAUAUUGUAAAAUAUUUAGUUUAGUAGUACUAAUUUUUAAA